AAGACUCAAAAGUGGACAAUAAUUUCCAUAUAUUUUUUGUCCACUUUUGAGCAGA
This is a microRNA precursor of Oreochromis aureus, 55 nucleotides long. Lineage: Eukaryota; Metazoa; Chordata; Actinopteri; Cichliformes; Cichlidae. The record is from Ensembl.